UACGUAGGGGGCAAGCGUUGUUCGGAAUGACUGGGCGUAAAGGGUGCGUAGGCGGUGUAGCAAGUUAGAAGUGAAAUACCUAGAGCUUAACUCAGGUGCUGCUUCUAAAACUGCUAUACUUGAGUGCAGUAGAGGAAAGUGGAAUUCCUAGUGUAGCGGUGGAAUGCGUAGAUAUUAGGAGGAACAUCAGUGGCGAAGGCGACUUUCUGGACUGUAACUGACGCUCAGUCCCGAAAGCGUGGGGAGCAAAUAGG
Molecule: ribosomal RNA, 254 nt
Filed under: uncultured bacterium
Lineage: Bacteria
Description: partial 16S ribosomal RNA
Rfam family: Bacterial small subunit ribosomal RNA
Source: RNAcentral